CUUCGCUUGCAGAAGCACGCCACAGUCACAUAAAGAUAUGUUUAUUGGAAGUCAGGCAGCUUCCCAUUAGAAGAGGUGAAUGGACACUGAUGUAUGAGACCUAUUGACUGCUUUUGUACAUGGAGAAAGAGUUGCGUGGUGCGAGACUUCAGGGAUCCUAAUAGUCUACACUUGAUAUUUGGAAGGCAAAGUGGAGCUCUGAUCAGUGGGAAAUGACAUCCAACAACAUCUCCUUCAUCUCCGAACAAUCAGUGCUACCUUUUCACUCUUAACACAGCUCUGAAGGACAAUACAUUAUUGUUGUUUUGAAUGAGGAAUAUCAUCUGGUGGGAUACUGAGAAGCUACCACGACAGCCAAGGAUUUCUAGACAUCUGGUGUCUCUGACAUGUGAGGUCCCUUUACUUCUUUAUUCAAUUAAGCAAAUAAAAAAAUCGACAAAGACAAUGAUGUGCUGAGCCUUGUGAGUGACACAGAAACAGGUAACUGGACUUCAACCUCUCGGAUUUUUCUUUCCAUCCUCCCUUUCUUCAGAGACAAAG
This 540-nucleotide long non-coding RNA is filed under the name Gallus gallus (chicken). Its description in RNAcentral is "lncRNA (ENSGALG00010007714.1)". The record is from RNAcentral. Lineage: Eukaryota; Metazoa; Chordata; Aves; Galliformes; Phasianidae.